GGUUCGGUUUGUGUAGGAUAGGUGGGAGACUGUGAAGUGGUCACGCUAGUGGUUGUGGAGUCGAAAGUUGAAAUACCACUCUGAUCGGAUUGAGCACCUUAACCUUGGCCCAUGAUCUGGGUUGGGGACAGUGCCUGGUGGGUAGUUUAACUGGGGCGGUUGCUCCUAAAGUGUAACGGAGGCGCCCAAAGGUUCCCUCAGCCUGGUUGGCAAUCAGGUGGUGAGUGUAAGUGCACAAGGGAGCUUGACUGUGAGACUGAC
RNAcentral lists this ribosomal RNA (261 nucleotides) under Corynebacterium diphtheriae. RNAcentral describes it as "partial 23S ribosomal RNA". It matches the Rfam family "Bacterial large subunit ribosomal RNA", at positions 2126 to 2385 of the family's 2925-position model. The record is from RNAcentral. Lineage: Bacteria; Bacillati; Actinomycetota; Actinomycetes; Mycobacteriales; Corynebacteriaceae.